UACGUAGGGCGCAAGCGUUGUCCGGAAUUAUUGGGCGUAAAGAGCUCGUAGGCGGUCUGUCGCGUCUGGUGUGAAAUCCCAUGGCUCAACUGUGGGCUUGCAUCGGGUACGGGCAGACUAGAGUGCUGUAGGGGAGACUGGAAUUCCUGGUGUAGCGGUGGAAUGCGCAGAUAUCAGGAGGAACACCGAUGGCGAAGGCAGGUCUCUGGGCUGUAACUGACGCUGAGGAGCGAAAGCAUGGGGAGCGAACAGG
This 253-nucleotide ribosomal RNA is filed under the name uncultured bacterium. Its description in RNAcentral is "partial 16S ribosomal RNA". It matches the Rfam family "Bacterial small subunit ribosomal RNA", at positions 524 to 776 of the family's 1533-position model. The record is from RNAcentral.